Molecule: ribosomal RNA, 2521 nt
Filed under: Listeria monocytogenes
Lineage: Bacteria; Bacillati; Bacillota; Bacilli; Caryophanales; Listeriaceae
Description: partial 23S ribosomal RNA
Rfam family: Bacterial large subunit ribosomal RNA
Source: RNAcentral
CUGAGUACGGCGGAACACGUGAAAUUCCGUCGGAAUCCGGGAGGACCAUCUCCCAAGGCUAAAUACUCCCUAGUGACCGAUAGUGAACCAGUACCGUGAGGGAAAGGUGAAAAGCACCCCGGAAGGGGAGUGAAACAGUUCCUGAAACCGUGUGCCUACAAGUAGUUAGAGCCCGUUAAUGGGUGAUAGCGUGCCUUUUGUAGAAUGAACCGGCGAGUUACGAUUUGUUGCAAGGUUAAGCGGAAAAAGCGGAGCCGUAGCGAAAGCGAGUCUGAAUAGGGCGCAUAAGUAACAGGUCGUAGACCCGAAACCAGGUGAUCUACCCAUGUCCAGGAUGAAGGUAAGGUAAUACUUACUGGAGGUCCGAACCCACGCACGUUGAAAAGUGCGGGGAUGAGGUGUGGGUAGCGGAGAAAUUCCAAUCGAACUUGGAGAUAGCUGGUUCUCUCCGAAAUAGCUUUAGGGCUAGCCUCGAGGUAAAGAGUCAUGGAGGUAGAGCACUGUUUGGACUAGGGGCCCUUCUCGGGUUACCGAAUUCAGAUAAACUCCGAAUGCCAUGUACUUAUACUCGGGAGUCAGACUGCGAGUGAUAAGAUCCGUAGUCGAAAGGGAAACAGCCCAGACCACCAGUUAAGGUCCCCAAAUAUAUGUUAAGUGGAAAAGGAUGUGGGGUUGCUUAGACAACCAGGAUGUUGGCUUAGAAGCAGCCACCAUUGAAAGAGUGCGUAAUAGCUCACUGGUCGAGUGACCCCGCGCCGAAAAUGUACCGGGGCUAAACAUAUUACCGAAACUGUGGAUGAACCUCUUUAGAGGUUCGUGGUAGGAGAGCGUUCUAAGGGCGGUGAAGUCAGACCGGAAGGACUGGUGGAGCGCUUAGAAGUGAGAAUGCCGGUAUGAGUAGCGAAAGAAGGGUGAGAAUCCCUUCCACCGAAUAUCUAAGGUUUCCUGAGGAAGGCUCGUCCGCUCAGGGUUAGUCGGGACCUAAGCCGAGGCCGAUAGGCGUAGGCGAUGGACAACAGGUAGAGAUUCCUGUACCAGUGCUAAUUGUUUAACCGAUGGGGUGACACAGAAGGAUAGGGAAUCGCACGAAUGGAAAUGUGCGUCCAAGCAGUGAGUGUGAGAAGUAGGCAAAUCCGCUUCUCGCAAAGCAUGAGCUGUGAUGGGGAAGGAAAUUAAGUACGGAAGUUCCUGAUUUCACGCUGUCAAGAAAAGCCUCUAGGAAGAGUAGUACUGCCCGUACCGCAAACCGACACAGGUAGAUGAGGAGAGAAUCCUAAGGUGAGCGAGAGAACUCUCGUUAAGGAACUCGGCAAAAUGACCCCGUAACUUCGGGAGAAGGGGUGCUCUAUUAGGGUGCAAGCCCGAGAGAGCCGCAGUGAAUAGGCCCAGGCGACUGUUUAGCAAAAACACAGGUCUCUGCAAAACCGUAAGGUGACGUAUAGGGGCUGACGCCUGCCCGGUGCUGGAAGGUUAAGAGGAGUGCUUAGCUUCGGCGAAGGUACGAAUUGAAGCCCCAGUAAACGGCGGCCGUAACUAUAACGGUCCUAAGGUAGCGAAAUUCCUUGUCGGGUAAGUUCCGACCCGCACGAAAGGCGCAACGAUCUGGGCACUGUCUCAACGAGAGACUCGGUGAAAUUAUAGUACCUGUGAAGAUGCAGGUUACCCGCGACAGGACGGAAAGACCCCGUGGAGCUUUACUGCAACCUGAUAUGGAAUGUUUGUACCGCUUGUACAGGAUAGGUAGGAGCCGAAGAGACGUGUGCGCUAGCAUACGAGGAGGCAAUGGUGGGAUACUACCCUGGCUGUAUGACCAUUCUAACCCGCCACGCUUAGCGCGUGGGGAGACAGUGUCAGGUGGGCAGUUUGACUGGGGCGGUCGCCUCCUAAAGAGUAACGGAGGCGCCCAAAGGUUCCCUCAGAAUGGAUGGAAAUCAUUCGCAGAGUGUAAAGGCACAAGGGAGCUUGACUGCGAGACUGACAAGUCGAGCAGGGACGAAAGUCGGGCUUAGUGAUCCGGUGGUUCCGCAUGGAAGGGCCAUCGCUCAACGGAUAAAAGCUACCCCGGGGAUAACAGGCUUAUCUCCCCCAAGAGUCCACAUCGACGGGGAGGUUUGGCACCUCGAUGUCGGCUCGUCGCAUCCUGGGGCUGUAGUCGGUCCCAAGGGUUGGGCUGUUCGCCCAUUAAAGCGGCACGCGAGCUGGGUUCAGAACGUCGUGAGACAGUUCGGUCCCUAUCCGUCGCGGGCGCAGGAAAUUUGAGAGGAGCUGUCCUUAGUACGAGAGGACCGGGAUGGACACACCGCUGGUGUACCAGUUGUUCCGCCAGGAGCAUCGCUGGGUAGCUAUGUGUGGCAGGGAUAAACGCUGAAAGCAUCUAAGCGUGAAGCCCCCCUCAAGAUGAGAUUUCCCAUUUCUUCGGAAAGUAAGAUCCCUGAAAGAUGAUCAGGUAGAUAGGUUUGGAGUGGAAGUGUAGCGAUACAUGGAGCGGACAAAUACUAAUCGAUCGAGGACUUAACCAAAA